RNAcentral lists this transfer RNA (29 nucleotides) under Eugenia uniflora (Surinam cherry). RNAcentral describes it as "partial transfer RNA-His". RNAcentral also lists the same sequence under 1 other name. Lineage: Eukaryota; Viridiplantae; Streptophyta; Magnoliopsida; Myrtales; Myrtaceae. The record is from RNAcentral.
CGGAUGUAGCCAAGUGGAUCAAGGCAGGG